Tachyglossus aculeatus (Australian echidna) is the source of this 499-nucleotide long non-coding RNA. RefSeq lists it as uncharacterized. NCBI's taxonomy places the organism in Eukaryota, Metazoa, Chordata, Mammalia, Monotremata, Tachyglossidae. The transcript has 4 exons. The record is from RefSeq and is a predicted model, not a curated record.
AAAUCCUGUUCUUGAAACUCAUCAUGUGCUGGGUGACUGCUCAGACUCUUCAGGACAAGAUCAUUCAGGGUGGAGAUUCCUCAAUCUUCCUUGCCCUAGGCCCCAACCCUGGAGACUCCAACUCUGGCUUUGCUGAGGAGAAAUGUGAACUCAAAGAGGGAACUUACUCUGUCAUUUUGUACGGUGACCUAGCAAUUUUCCCCUUCUAAGGACCAAACAGGUAACCCAAUGAGAAAAGAAGCAUCAGAAAACAACAGUGAAUCCAUGCUUCUUCAAGGGACCACACUCGAAGAAAAAAGGAGGAAAGGAGAGGAGAAGGAAGAAGCUAAGAGAGCUCUAGAGACUAUGUCUCUUUCUUCUAUUACAUUCUCCGGAGUGCUGCACAACAUAGGAACGAACACUGAAUGAAUCAACUUCCCAUAGACGCAUGGCUUGUUAUCAGCAAGCUCAUUGUGGGCAGGGAAUGUGUCUGUUUAUUGUUGUAUUGUACUCUCCCAAG